RNAcentral lists this ribosomal RNA (241 nucleotides) under uncultured bacterium. RNAcentral's name for it is "partial 16S ribosomal RNA". It matches the Rfam family "Bacterial small subunit ribosomal RNA", at positions 15 to 236 of the family's 1533-position model. The record is from RNAcentral.
GAUCCUGGCUCAGGAUGAACGCUGGCGGCGUGCUUAACACAUGCAAGUCGAGCGAAGCACUUAAGUUUGAUUCUUCGGAUGAAGACUUUUGUGACUGAGCGGCGGACGGGUGAGUAACGCGUGGGUAACCUGCCUCAUACAGGGGGAGUAACAGUUAGAAAUGACUGCUAAUACCGCAUAAGACCACGGUACCGCAUGGUACAGUGGUAAAAACUACCGGUGGUAUGAGAUGGACCCGCGU